Molecule: ribosomal RNA, 497 nt
Filed under: uncultured bacterium
Lineage: Bacteria
Description: partial 16S ribosomal RNA
Rfam family: Bacterial small subunit ribosomal RNA
Source: RNAcentral
GAUGAACGCUGGCGGCGUGCCUAAUACAUGCAAGUCGAGCGAACAGACGAGGAGCUUGCUCCUUUGACGUUAGCGGCGGACGGGUGAGUAACACGUGGGUAACCUACCUAUAAGACUGGGAUAACUUCGGGAAACCGGAGCUAAUACCGGAUAAUAUUUCGAACCGCAUGGUUCGAUAGUGAAAGAUGGCUUUGCUAUCACUUUUAGAUGGACCUGCGCCGUAUUAGCUAGUUGGUAAGGUAACGGCUUACCAAGGCAACGAUACGUAGCCGACCUGAGAGGGUGAUCGGCCACACUGGAACUGAGACACGGUCCAGACUCCUACGGGAGGCAGCAGUAGGGAAUCUUCCGCAAUGGGCGAAAGCCUGACGGAGCAACGCCGCGUGAGUGAUGAAGGUCUUCGGAUCGUAAAACUCUGUUAUUAGGGAAGAACAAACGUGUAAGUAACUGUGCACGUCUUGACGGUACCUAAUCAGAAAGCCACGGCUAACUACGUG